GACAGAGGGGGCAAGCGUUGCUCGGAAUCACUGGGCGUAAAGGGCGCGUAGGCGGGAUGGCAAGUCGGUCGUGAAAUCCUUCGGCUCAACCGAAGAACGUCGGCCGAUACUGCCGUUCUUGAGGGAUGCAGAGGAGAUUGGAAUUCCCGGUGUAGCGGUGAAAUGUGUAGAGAUCGGGAGGAACACCGGUGGCGAAGGCGGGUCUCUGGGCAUCUCCUGACGCUGAGGCGCGAAAGCGUGGGGAUCAAACAGG
This 253-nucleotide ribosomal RNA is filed under the name uncultured bacterium. Its description in RNAcentral is "partial 16S ribosomal RNA". It matches the Rfam family "Bacterial small subunit ribosomal RNA", at positions 524 to 776 of the family's 1533-position model. The record is from RNAcentral.